AUGGCCUCGAGCUCCCUCCCGCUCCUCGCCCUCCUGGCCCUGCUGGCCCUGCCAGGGCUCCGGGCGGCCGUGACCCUGCUGGAGUCCGGGGGGGACCUCCAGCCCCCCGGGGGGUCCCUGACUCUGCUCUGCCGCGCCUCUGGAUUUGAUUUUGGGAGUGUCGCCAUGUACUGGAUCCGCCAGAGCCCCGGGAAGGGACUGGAAUCUGUAGCACGGAUCACCAGCCGUGGUGGCCUCACCUUCUACGCGCCAUCAGUGCAGGGCCGGUUCAUGAUCUCCAGGGACAACGGGCAGAGCUCGGUGACGCUGACCAUGAACAACCUCAAGGUCGAGGAUUCCGGCACCUAUUUCUGUGCCAAAUCUGCCUAUAGUAGUUACGCGCCGCCUGUCGAGCCCCAACCCCCAGAUGAGCUUGACCCAAACUCGACUCUUGGCUCUGAAUCUCAGACGCGGCUCCCAAAAGUUCCGAAACAGCCGAGAUUUGGGGCCACGGUUUGA
Oenanthe melanoleuca is the source of this 498-nucleotide non-coding RNA. The record is from the annotation of a RefSeq genome assembly. Lineage: Eukaryota; Metazoa; Chordata; Aves; Passeriformes; Muscicapidae.